GUGGUUUUCAAAAGAUCCCUUCGAAGUUACAUAUUGAUAAGCUCAUUACAAACUCAACUCAUUAUUUUCACUACUAUCUUGUAGGCUAAGUACCUAUCAUAUAUAAUUAGAACCUCAUGAAAAUAAAAAAAAUCCACAUAAAAGAUGAAAAUACUACCAAAUAUAAGCCUCAACAUGCCACUACUUUCAGAAAAUCAUUGCUACUGGCUGGGCGUGAUGGCUCAUGCCUGUAAUCCCAGCUACUCGGGAGGCUGAGGCAGGAGAAUCACUUGAACUUGGGAGGCGGAGGUUGCAAUGAGCAGAGAUUGCACCACUGCACUCUAGCCUGGUGACAAGAGCGAGACUCCGUCUCAAAAAAAAAAAAAAAAAGCAUUGCCACAGAAACAGAGCUUAGAUUCCCCCAAAAUCUAGCUGGGUAAGAGAAACCCCUUCAUUUCUAUGUAUAAGUAAAGGAUGAGUAAGAAUUAGUUCAGUGAAGGAGAAUUAAAGGGGAGAAGGAUCAUUCCAAGCAGAGUUCCAGGACAUAAGUAAGGUCAAAGAAAGGAAUGCUCUUGUAGGUUUGAAAGUAAUUACAUAUGGCUCAACCGGAAAGGUUGAGAGGAAAAUGGCGAGAGUUAAGGCUGGAGGGGUGAACUGGAGAUAAUUAUUAAGCCCUGCAUUUUAUGUUAAGGAGUAAAGACUUUAUCCUGAGAGAAAUGGGGAGCUACCAGCAUGCAUCAGAUGAGGCAGAACAAGAUCAUUUUCUGCUUUAGAAAGAUCAUUCUGGCUGCAAGACAAAGAACGGAGGAGGGCAAGGCUAGGAGGAAGAUGUGCUAGAUAUUUUCUGUUUGCAUCUCCAGAAUACAGAAAAUGUAUUCUGCAUCAUUGGACAAUCUACUCCACAGAUAACCAGAAAAUUACAAUACAGCACAGGAAGUUCCAUGGCAAAGGAAAGCAAAAGGGGCUGUGGAUUCCCAGAGGAGGUGCCUAACUGAGCUUGGUGGACAGAGGAGUACAAAGAAUAGCAUAUGCAGAGGCUCUCAUCUAGAGUGUGCCCCCCAAAAUAAACAAAAAAUAAUAAUAAAAUAAAGUGUGCCCUAGUCAUCUUCUCAAACCAAUGAGAGUUUGCCUCUCAUUUUUCUUGUAGCCCUAUAGUUUCAAAAUACUGUUUACUUUGUGUGUGAAGGUGGAGGAAACAGGCACUUCCAGGAU
RNAcentral lists this long non-coding RNA (1191 nucleotides) under Papio anubis (olive baboon). Its description in RNAcentral is "lncRNA (ENSPANG00000048175.1)". Lineage: Eukaryota; Metazoa; Chordata; Mammalia; Primates; Cercopithecidae. The record is from RNAcentral.